This 253-nucleotide ribosomal RNA is filed under the name uncultured bacterium. RNAcentral's name for it is "partial 16S ribosomal RNA". It matches the Rfam family "Bacterial small subunit ribosomal RNA", at positions 524 to 776 of the family's 1533-position model. The record is from RNAcentral.
UACGAAGGGGGCUAGCGUUGCUCGGAAUUACUGGGCGUAAAGGGCGCGUAGGCGGGAUGGCAAGUCGGUCGUGAAAUCCUUCGGCUCAACCGAAGAACGUCGAUCGAUACUGCUGUUCUUGAGGGUUGCAGAGGAGACUGGAAUUCCACGUGUAGCGGUGAAAUGCGUAGAGAUGUGGAGGAACACCAGUGGCGAAGGCGACUCUUUGGUCUGUAACUGACGCUGAGGCGCGAAAGCGUGGGGAGCAAACAGG